Long non-coding RNA from Photinus pyralis (common eastern firefly), 855 nucleotides. RefSeq lists it as uncharacterized. Lineage: Eukaryota; Metazoa; Arthropoda; Insecta; Coleoptera; Lampyridae. The record is from RefSeq and is a predicted model, not a curated record. The transcript is spliced from 3 exons.
AAAAGUCCAAAUGUUUGUGGAUUUCAUAUAUCACUAGGUAUAUCACUCCAAUCUCUGUCAAGAGCGUUAGUUCAUGAUGUCCUGAUGUAGUAUUUUUCAAGUAGUGGCGUAAUAUCAAAAAAGGUCAUUCAUUUCCGCGAUGAAAACAAGCAUUCUGCUGUUAGCUCAUCUAUUCACCCUUAUAAAAUAAGAGCAGAGACUUCAAUACUUCUAAGGUUUUAUUAAUUAGACUUUGGGGAUUGAUCGGCAGUAAACACUGGAAACCCAUCAAAAUCUUUUGUUGCUUGGUGAAUCACCGGCUUGCUCCUGAACGUCAGCAGAUAAUAUAGCGAACCCGGGCUUGCUAAGUUCGCUGCCUUUGUCAAGUCGAUGGGGAUCUCCUAACCAAGGAAGAUACGACGUCAGUCCAAUAUUAGGGAAAAAUUGCGCAAUUCAAGAGUUAUUAUCAGGCUGCAAAGUGCAAAGAAAAUCAGAACAUUCCGAUUACUUCCGAAAAUAUGCCAGAAAAAUCGAAAUUUACCGAUUUUGUUUAUAUUUUUUACAGGUGUUGUGUAAAUAGAUACAAAUAAAAAAACAACAUUUUUGAAAAUAGAUAACGUGUAUAAAAAUGAACCAAAAUCCGGUACCCAUGCAUUGCCAUUGUUUUCGGUUCGUUUUUUCACAAGAAGAUGAUGCACAGAACAAUGUGAACAAAAUUAAUACAAAUUUACAAAUGAAUAAAUCCCUAUGGCACUUAUAAUUAAAGAAAAAAAAUCUAUUUCAAUGGUAAAUUUCUAUUCAAAUGUGCUUUAAACAAUUGUCAGACAAGCUAUGCCGGAAUCGUCUUCGGCUGCAGAGUGCUACGCGUAAUGACCA